Molecule: ribosomal RNA, 253 nt
Filed under: uncultured bacterium
Lineage: Bacteria
Description: partial 16S ribosomal RNA
Rfam family: Bacterial small subunit ribosomal RNA
Source: RNAcentral
UACGGAGGGUGCAAGCGUUAAUCGGAAUUACUGGGCGUAAAGCGCGCGCAGGCGGUCCUUUAAGUCUGGUGUGAAAGCCCACGGCUCAACCGGGGAGGGUCAUUGGAAACUGGGGGACUUGAGUGCAGGAGAGAAGAGUGGAAUUCCACGUGUAGCGGUGAAAUGCGUAGAGAUGUGGAGGAACACCAGUGGCGAAGGCGACUCUGUGGCCUGUAACUGACGCUGAGGCGCGAAAGCGUGGGGAGCAAACAGG